This is a non-coding RNA of Pelobates cultripes (western spadefoot toad), 223 nucleotides long. The record is from the annotation of a GenBank genome assembly. NCBI's taxonomy places the organism in Eukaryota, Metazoa, Chordata, Amphibia, Anura, Pelobatidae.
AUAAGGUGCUGCUGGGGGCCAAAUUAUACAAUACACAAGAUCCAGCGCACUCACCUAUCCACUAAACAGCAACUUCAAUGCUGACAGAUUUUAUUAGUUUGUUUUUUAAAAACACCUAAUCUAAGCAAAAAUAAUGGGGGUUUAGUUACAUUAUAUGAUCAUACAGGUCAUAUAGGUUCAGAUCUUGCCUCCGUCGGUAAGUGUUAAAACCAGUGUUGACAGG